This is a long non-coding RNA of Callithrix jacchus (white-tufted-ear marmoset), 2261 nucleotides long. The record is from Ensembl. NCBI's taxonomy places the organism in Eukaryota, Metazoa, Chordata, Mammalia, Primates, Cebidae.
UGGCUCUGGAAAGCUGAAAGGGCUGCACUGGAACAACACAGAUGAGAUAUUCUACACAUUAAUCUACUUAUCUGGAAUCACUUUGCAGCUAAAGGCCAGAGAAAAAUCACAGAUUCCUUGUCAGAGGGGAAGAGGAAGGUGAUCUGGGGAAAACGCAGCUACACCUGAGCAAGGUCUCUUCCCGGCUUGGCAAUCCCAGCUGUGCCAGCGCUACAGGACCCGAGGCGUCCCAGAAACCAAAGGGCAGGCACCGCAGCGAAUGCCUGAGCCUGCCCUAUGCUUCAUGCAGGUUGAACAGAAGUGUUCUCUGAGCUUGUAUUGUUACAGCCCUCCGCGAUGGUGUAAAAGAAUGAAAGAAGACAUGACCUGCUUUCAGGAUUUUCAGAAGAAUGUUGGGCUGAAUACAGGUAAAAGCAAGAUGAACACACACAGGUGACUGUUAAUGAACAGUGGCUAAAUGCACAGGUUAUGGGAGUUGAACUGCCUGGGUUUAAAUCCUGGCUCCACUAGUUACCACCUAGAGCAAGUCAUAUACUUUUUAUAAGCCUCAGUUUCCCCUUCUGAGAACUGCAUUGAUAACAUCCACCUCAUAAGGUCCUUGUUAAGGGUGGUAAGGUAAUAAACAUAAAAUGAUCAGCACAUAAAAGGCAUUCAACAAAUGUUAGCUACUAUUAUCAUAUAAAUGAUUAUUUUUAUUUUUACUACUAUUACUACUACUCCUACUUCCUUGCUACUCUCAUCUAUAUUUUGCCCCGUACCUUAAAGACAAGGAGCCUCCCAAGCUGUAUGCCAUGGUCCAAGUCAGAUAGAAUAUAAUGCAUCUCAGGCAGGGAAGCUAGGAGGCUCAGGGUCUGUCAGAAAAGGCACAGAAGAGUAUUUCUGAGGGAGGAGAUGGCUGUGGAGGGGAGUAAGCAGAGCCUGGAUAAAGUAAAUAACUACGUUUGCUCUAAAUGACUUUCGGAACCGAGAAAGAGCACAUGUUCACAGAUCAGAUGAUUUUCAGAGCUGGAAAUUGACUUAGAAAUCCUUAAGUUACUUCUUUUUUUAAUGCAGCUUUUGGAUAGCCAUAAAAAUCUUAAGCUUUCCUUUAAUGUUAUUUAAAUUUUUAAAAUAAAUUCAGUAACAAGAAAAAAAAAGGAUGAACACAACAGUAACUUUGAAACUAUUUUAUUUAUAUCUUAAAAGAUACGUAUUUCUUCCUUUGAUCAUGUGUCUACAAUGUGAGCACUGAAUCUGCUUGCUCACCACCAGCUUUUCACCCCAAAAGAAUGGAGAAAACAGAGCCGGAGGCAUGCUGCACUCCAUGUCAAGUUUAUCUGCUGCUUUAUUUUCAAAUGCCUUAAGACCCUUUCACCCUGACUUUGAUAUACCCCAUAGCGGGCCAGGACCCUGCUUACUCCAAAAGCAUAAUUUUAUAGACAACAGGACAAUGAGACUCCACUGACUUAUUGUUAGCCACACAGCUAGUUGGCAAAGAAAGGAAUCAGAAAUCCUGCUGAUGGAGAGGAAGAUUCAGAGGUGAAGGAGAAACAGGAAAAUGAAGGUUUGUAAUAAUUUGCUGUGGAAAAUCAAAUGAUGUGGGCAGCAAAAAGGGGACUUAAGCAAAAAGAUUUUUUAAGAAAAGAGACUUAAGCAAAAAUAUUUUUUAGGAAAAGCAUUCUUGCUGCUGUAUGAAGAGUGCAAUAAAUUAACCAUGUCAUAUCCCUUAUCUCUGCACCUUUUGCUACCAGAACCUAAAAUAUAUACCAAGAAAAUACAUUUAAAGGUUAAAUCUGGUUGUUUUUGUUUUUCAUUUGAGCAGAUUUUCUAUUUAUAAUCAUUGAUUACCCUAUUUUAGGAAUGAAGUGGAAAUGAAGGGUUUUCUCCUCAGUGGUCAUAACAAACUUGAAGGCUCUAUGGCUAAAAAUACAAAUCCCAUUUUGUUGCUUCUUUGCUGUUGUUUUUGAGACAGGGUCUUUGUGUUGCCCAGGCUGGAGUACAGUGGUGCCAUCAUGGAUCACUGCAGCCUCGACCUCCCAGGCUCAAUCAAUCCUCCCACCUGAGCCUCCCGAGUAGUUGGCAUGCAGGAACACAUCACCACACCUGGCUAAUUUUUGUAUUUUUAGUAGAAAUGGGGUUUCGCUAUGUUGCCCAGGCUGGUCUCAAAUUCCUGGGCUCAAGUGAUCCACCCGCCUCAGCCUUCCAAAGUGCUAGGAAUACAGGUGUAAGCCACUGCACCUGGUUAUAGCUUUUUCAAGAGCAAGAAGUUACAAAUUCCUGGA